UUCAUAGUUGUCUUGGCUGUUAGGCAUCACAACAAACCAAACCCUCCUGUUGCUCCCACAACUCCCCCUAGCACCAGCCCUACCUCCCCAUCCCCCAAAUCUCCAUCUCCUCAGUACCCUCAUCACCCUCCUGGGACCUCACCAUCACCAGCAUCAGUGGCUAACCCUCCAGCCACCUCACCAUCACCAGUAGUGGCUAGCCCUCCUGCCACCUCCCCAUCACCAGUGGGCUACCCUCCUGCCACCUCCCCAUCGCCAGUGGGCUACCCUCCUGCCACCUCACCAUCACCAGUGGGCUACCCUCCUGCCACCUCACCAUCACCAGUGGGAUACACUCCUGCCACCUCACCAUCCCCAUCAACAACAACAUCUCCAGCGCUAGCGCCAGGUCCAUCUUCAUCCCUUACACCAUUUCCUUCUCCACCCUCACCGCCCCCCGAGGGGCCCACACCGCCCUCCGAGGGGCCCACACCGGCCCCGUCCGCAGAGUCUGCGGGCCCCACACCACCGGGAACCGUUUCUCCGCCGCCCGGGACAGCGGACUCGACGGCUCCGAGACCGGCGGGGAGUGGAGCGUCGCAUAGUGUAACGGCUCCUUCGAGCGUGCUGGUGUCU
RNAcentral lists this long non-coding RNA (615 nucleotides) under Prunus persica (peach). Its description in RNAcentral is "long non-coding RNA (PPER_LNC004148)". Lineage: Eukaryota; Viridiplantae; Streptophyta; Magnoliopsida; Rosales; Rosaceae. The record is from RNAcentral.